This 1372-nucleotide ribosomal RNA is filed under the name uncultured bacterium. RNAcentral's name for it is "bacterial SSU rRNA". It matches the Rfam family "Bacterial small subunit ribosomal RNA", at positions 28 to 1381 of the family's 1533-position model. The record is from RNAcentral.
GAUGAACGCUGGCGGCGUGCCUAAUACAUGCAAGUCGAGCGAACGGACGAGAAGCUUGCUUCUCUGAUGUUAGCGGCGGACGGGUGAGUAACACGUGGAUAACCUACCUAUAAGACUGGGAUAACUUCGGGAAACCGGAGCCAAUACCGGAUAAUAUUUUGAUCUGCAUGGUUCAAAAGUAAAAGACGGUCUUGCUGUCACUUAUAGAUGGAUCCGCGCUGCAUUAGCUAGUUGGUAAGGUAACGGCUUACCAAGGCAACGAUGCAUAGCCGACCUGAGAGGGUGAUCGGCCACACUGGAACUGAGACACGGUCCAGACUCCUACGGGAGGCAGCAGUAGGGAAUCUUCCGCAAUGGGCGAAAGCCUGACGGAGCAACGCCGCGUGAGUGAUGGAGGUCUUCGGAUCGUAAAACUCUGUUAUUAGGGAAGAACAUAUGUGUAAGUAACUGUGCACAUCUUGACGGUACCUAAUCAGAAAGCCACGGCUAACUACGUGCCAGCAGCCGCGGUAAUACGUAGGUGGCAAGCGUUAUCCGGAAUUAUUGGGCGUAAAGCGCGCGUAGGCGGUUUUUUAAGUCUGAUGUGAAAGCCCACGGCUCAACCGUGGAGGGUCAUUGGAAACUGGAAAACUUGAGUGCAGAAGAGGAAAGUGGAAUUCCAUGUGUAGCGGUGAAAUGCGCAGAGAUAUGGAGGAACACCAGUGGCGAAGGCGACUUUCUGGUCUGUAACUGACGCUGAUGUGCGAAAGCGUGGGGAUCAAACAGGAUUAGAUACCCUGGUAGUCCACGCCGUAAACGAUGAGUGCUAAGUGUUAGGGGGUUUCCGCCCCUUAGUGCUGCAGCUAACGCAUUAAGCACUCCGCCUGGGGAGUACGACCGCAAGGUUGAAACUCAAAGGAAUUGACGGGGACCCGCACAAGCGGUGGAGCAUGUGGUUUAAUUCGAAGCAACGCGAAGAACCUUACCAAAUCUUGACAUCCUUCGACAACUCUAGAGAUAGAGCCUUCCCCUUCGGGGGACAAAGUGACAGGUGGUGCAUGGUUGUCGUCAGCUCGUGUCGUGAGAUGUUGGGUUAAGUCCCGCAACGAGCGCAACCCUUAAGCUUAGUUGCCAUCAUUAAGUUGGGCACUCUAAGUUGACUGCCGGUGACAAACCGGAGGAAGGUGGGGAUGACGUCAAAUCAUCAUGCCCCUUAUGAUUUGGGCUACACACGUGCUACAAUGGACAAUACAAAGGGCAGCGAAACCGCGAGGUCAAGCAAAUCCCAUAAAGUUGUUCUCAGUUCGGAUUGUAGUCUGCAACUCGACUACAUGAAGCUGGAAUCGCUAGUAAUCGUAGAUCAGCAUGCUACGGUGAAUACGUUCCCGGGUCU